This 433-nucleotide ribosomal RNA is filed under the name uncultured bacterium. RNAcentral describes it as "partial 16S ribosomal RNA". It matches the Rfam family "Bacterial small subunit ribosomal RNA", at positions 29 to 507 of the family's 1533-position model. The record is from RNAcentral.
AACGAACGCUGGCGGCAUGCCUAACACAUGCAAGUCGAACGAGACCUUCGGGUCUAGUGGCGCACGGGUGCGUAACGCGUGGGAACCUGCCCUUAGGUUCGGAAUAACUCCCCGAAAGGGGUGCUAAUACCGGAUCAUGUCUUCGGACCAAAGAUUUAUCGCCUUUGGAUGGGCCCGCGUUGGAUUAGCUAGUUGGUAGGGUAAAAGCCUACCAAGGCGACGAUCCAUAGCUGGUCUGAGAGGAUGAUCAGCCACACUGGGACUGAGACACGGCCCAGACUCCUACGGGAGGCAGCAGUGGGGAAUAUUGGACAAUGGGCGAAAGCCUGAUCCAGCAAUGCCGCGUGAGUGAUGAAGGCCUUAGGGUUGUAAAGCUCUUUUACCCGGGAUGAUAAUGACAGUACCGGGAGAAUAAGCGCCGGCUAACUCCGUG